Molecule: ribosomal RNA, 460 nt
Filed under: uncultured bacterium
Lineage: Bacteria
Description: partial 16S ribosomal RNA
Rfam family: Bacterial small subunit ribosomal RNA
Source: RNAcentral
CCUACGGGAGGCAGCAGUGAGGAAUAUUGGUCAAUGGGCGCGAGCCUGAACCAGCCAAGUAGCGUGAGGGAAGACGGUCCUAUGGAUUGUAAACCUCUUUUGGCGGGGAGCAAUGCCGGGCACGUGUGCCCGGAGGGAGAGUACCCGCAGAAUAAGCAUCGGCUAACCCCGUGCCAGCAGCCGCGGUAAGACGGAGGAUGCGAGCGUUAUCCGGAUUUAUUGGGUUUAAAGGGUGCGGAGGCGGAUUUUUAAGUCAGCGGUAAAAUAUCCGGGCUCAACCCGGGCCGGCCGUUGAAACUGGGGGUCUUGAGUGGGCGAGAGGUAUGCGGAAUGCGUGGUGUAGCGGUGAAAUGCAUAGAUAUCACGAAGAACUCCGAUUGCGAAGGCAGCAUACCGGCGCCCGACUGACGCUGAGGCACGAAAGCGUGGGGAUCGAACAGGAUUAGAUACCCUUGUAGUC